GGAAGGUAGCCGGAUACGGUUUGCCGGGCCGCACUGCUAAUGCGUGCCUCCUUACGGGGAUGUGGGUUCGAAUCCCAUGCCUUCCG
This 86-nucleotide transfer RNA is filed under the name Planctomycetaceae bacterium. Its description in RNAcentral is "tRNA-Ser". It matches the Rfam family "tRNA". From Rfam's summary of the family: Transfer RNA (tRNA) molecules are approximately 80 nucleotides in length. Their secondary structure includes four short double-helical elements and three loops (D, anti-codon, and T loops). Further hydrogen bonds mediate the characteristic L-shaped molecular structure. tRNAs have two regions of fundamental functional importance: the anti-codon, which is responsible for specific mRNA codon recognition, and the 3' end, to which the tRNAs corresponding amino acid is attached (by aminoacyl-tRNA synthetases). tRNAs cope with the degeneracy of the genetic code in two manners: having more than one tRNA (with a specific anti-codon) for a particular amino acid; and 'wobble' base-pairing, i.e. permitting non-standard base-pairing at the 3rd anti-codon position. The record is from RNAcentral. Lineage: Bacteria; Pseudomonadati; Planctomycetota; Planctomycetia; Planctomycetales; Planctomycetaceae.